UACGGAGGAUGCGAGCGUUAUCCGGAUUUAUUGGGUUUAAAGGGUGCGUAGGCGGGAUGCCAAGUCAGCGGUAAAAAUGCGGUGCUCAACACCGUCGAGCCGUUGAAACUGGCGUUCUUGAGUGGGCGAGAAGUAUGCGGAAUGCGUGGUGUAGCGGUGAAAUGCAUAGAUAUCACGCAGAACUCCGAUUGCGAAGGCAGCAUACCGGCGCCCUACUGACGCUGAGGCACGAAAGCGUGGGUAUCGAACAGG
This 252-nucleotide ribosomal RNA is filed under the name uncultured bacterium. RNAcentral describes it as "partial 16S ribosomal RNA". It matches the Rfam family "Bacterial small subunit ribosomal RNA", at positions 524 to 776 of the family's 1533-position model. The record is from RNAcentral.